This 29-nucleotide small RNA is filed under the name Bombyx mori (domestic silkworm). Its description in RNAcentral is "ovarian small RNA-18632". Lineage: Eukaryota; Metazoa; Arthropoda; Insecta; Lepidoptera; Bombycidae. The record is from RNAcentral.
UAACAUAAAUUUCCUACUAUUAGCAGAUA